RNAcentral lists this ribosomal RNA (460 nucleotides) under uncultured bacterium. RNAcentral's name for it is "partial 16S ribosomal RNA". It matches the Rfam family "Bacterial small subunit ribosomal RNA", at positions 338 to 795 of the family's 1533-position model. The record is from RNAcentral.
CCUACGGGGGACAGCAGUGAGGAAUAUUGGUCAAUGGACGAGAGUCUGAACCAGCCAAGUAGCGUGAAGGAUGACUGCCCUAUGGGUUGUAAACUUCUUUUAUAUGGGAAUAAAAUGUUCCACGUGUGGGAUUUUGUAUGUACCAUAUGAAUAAGGAUCCGCUAACUCCGUGCCAGCAGCCGCGGUAAUACGGAGGAUCCGAGCGUUAUCCGGAUUUAUUGGGUUUAAAGGGAGCGUAGGUGGAUUGUUAAGUCAGUUGUGAAAGUUUGCGGCUCAACCGUAAAAUUGCAGUUGAAACUGGCAGUCUUGAGUACAGUAGAGGUGGGCGGAAUUCGUGGUGUAGCGGUGAAAUGCUUAGAUAUCACGAAGAACUCCGAUUGCGAAGGCAGUUCACUGGACUGCAACUGACACUGAGGCUCGAAAGUGUGGGUAUCAAACAGGAUUAGAUACCCUUGUAGUC